GUCGCAAGCUGGUGUAAAUGUUCAUUAUUAUGAGGACGAGUCUGCUCCAACGGGUACUUGUGCUGUUUGUGUUGUUGGUGGUGAAAGGUCACUUGUUGCUAACUUGUCAGCUGCAAACUGCUAUAAAUCUGAACACCUGAAGAGACCAGAAAAUUGGGCCUUAGUUGAAAAGGCCAAGUACUACUAUAUUGCUGGAUUCUUCCUCACUGUUUCCCUAGAGUCUAUCCUACUUGUUGCUCAGCAUGCAGCUGCAAAGAA
Molecule: long non-coding RNA, 258 nt
Organism: Coffea arabica (coffee)
Lineage: Eukaryota; Viridiplantae; Streptophyta; Magnoliopsida; Gentianales; Rubiaceae
Source: RefSeq, a predicted model, not a curated record